Molecule: ribosomal RNA, 1437 nt
Filed under: uncultured bacterium
Lineage: Bacteria
Also listed under: 1 other name
Description: 16S ribosomal RNA
Rfam family: Bacterial small subunit ribosomal RNA
Source: RNAcentral
GCUUAACACAUGCAAGUCGAGGGGCAGCAUGGUCUUAGCUUGCUAAGGCCGAUGGCGACCGGCGCACGGGUGAGUAACACGUAUCCAACCUGCCGUCUACUCUUGGACAGCCUUCUGAAAGGAAGAUUAAUACAAGAUGGCAUCAUGAGUCCGCAUGUUCACAUGAUUAAAGGUAUUCCGGUAGACGAUGGGGAUGCGUUCCAUUAGAUAGUAGGCGGGGUAACGGCCCACCUAGUCUUCGAUGGAUAGGGGUUCUGAGAGGAAGGUCCCCCACAUUGGAACUGAGACACGGUCCAAACUCCUACGGGAGGCAGCAGUGAGGAAUAUUGGUCAAUGGGCGAGAGCCUGAACCAGCCAAGUAGCGUGAAGGAUGACUGCCCUAUGGGUUGUAAACUUCUUUUAUAAAGGAAUAAAGUCGGGUAUGGAUACCCGUUUGCAUGUACUUUAUGAAUAAGGAUCGGCUAACUCCGUGCCAGCAGCCGCGGUAAUACGGAGGAUCCGAGCGUUAUCCGGAUUUAUUGGGUUUAAAGGGAGCGUAGAUGGAUGUUUAAGUCAGUUGUGAAAGUUUGCGGCUCAACCGUAAAAUUGCAGUUGAUACUGGAUAUCUUGAGUGCAGUUGAGGCAGGCGGAAUUCGUGGUGUAGCGGUGAAAUGCUUAGAUAUCACGAAGAACUCCGAUUGCGAAGGCAGCCUGCUAAGCUGCAACUGACAUUGAGGCUCGAAAGUGUGGGUAUCAAACAGGAUUAGAUACCCUGGUAGUCCACACGGUAAACGAUGAAUACUCGCUGUUUGCGAUAUACUGCAAGCGGCCAAGCGAAAGCGUUAAGUAUUCCACCUGGGGAGUACGCCGGCAACGGUGAAACUCAAAGGAAUUGACGGGGGCCCGCACAAGCGGAGGAACAUGUGGUUUAAUUCGAUGAUACGCGAGGAACCUUACCCGGGCUUAAAUUGCAGAUGAAUUACGGUGAAAGCCGUAAGCCGCAAGGCAUCUGUGAAGGUGCUGCAUGGUUGUCGUCAGCUCGUGCCGUGAGGUGUCGGCUUAAGUGCCAUAACGAGCGCAACCCUUGUUGUCAGUUACUAACAGGUUCCGCUGAGGACUCUGACAAGACUGCCAUCGUAAGAUGUGAGGAAGGUGGGGAUGACGUCAAAUCAGCACGGCCCUUACGUCCGGGGCUACACACGUGUUACAAUGGGGGGUACAGAGGGCCGCUACCACGCGAGUGGAUGCCAAUCCCCAAAACCUCUCUCAGUUCGGACUGGAGUCUGCAACCCGACUCCACGAAGCUGGAUUCGCUAGUAAUCGCGCAUCAGCCACGGCGCGGUGAAUACGUUCCCGGGCCUUGUACACACCGCCCGUCAAGCCAUGGGAGCCGGGGGUACCUGAAGUGCGUAACCGCGAGGAGCGCCCUAGGGUAAAACUGGUGACUGGGGCUAAGUC